UUGCCAGCCCGCUCAGAAACUUAAAGGAAUUGACGGGGCCCGCACAAGCGGAGGAGCAUGUGGUUUAAUUCGAUGAUACGCGAGGAACCUUACCUGGGCUCGAACGUAAGAUGACUGUAGGUGAAAGCUUACAUCUCUUCGGAGCAUUUUACGAGGUGCUGCAUGGUUGUCGUCAGCUCGUGCCGUGAGGUGUCGGGUUAAGUCCCAUAACGAGCGCAACCCUACCUUUAGUUGCCAUCAGGUUAAGCUGGGGACUCUAAAGGAACUGCCUACGCAAGUAGUGAGGAAGGCGGGGAUGACGUCAAAUCAGCACGGCCCUUACGUCCAGGGCUACACACGUGCUACAAUGGCCGAUACAGAGGGCAGCUACAUGGUGACAGGAUGCAAAUCUCCAAAGUCGGUCUCAGUUCGGAUCGGAGUCUGCAACCCGACUCCGUGAAGUUGGAUUCGCUAGUAAUCGCGCAUCAGCCAUGGCGCGGUGAAUACGUUCCCGGGCCUU
RNAcentral lists this ribosomal RNA (499 nucleotides) under uncultured Sphingobacteriales bacterium. RNAcentral's name for it is "bacterial SSU rRNA". It matches the Rfam family "Bacterial small subunit ribosomal RNA", at positions 903 to 1382 of the family's 1533-position model. Lineage: Bacteria; Pseudomonadati; Bacteroidota; Sphingobacteriia; Sphingobacteriales. The record is from RNAcentral.